GACGAACGCUGGCGGCGUGCCUAAUACAUGCAAGUUGAGCGCUGAAGGUUGGUACUUGUACCGCCUGGGUGAGCAGCGAACGGGUGAGUAACGCGUGGGGAAUCUGCCUUUGAGCGGGGGACAACAUUGGGAAACGAAUGCUAAUACCGCAUAAAAACUUUAAACACAAGGUUCAAGUUUGAAAGAUGCAAUUGCAUCACUCAAAGAUGAUCCCGCGUUGUAUUAGCUAGUUGGUGAGGUAAAGGCUCACCAAGGCGAUGAUACAUAGCCGACCUGAGAGGGUGAUCGGCCACAUUGGGACUGAGACACGGCCCAAACUCCUACGGGAGGCAGCAGUAGGGAAUCUUCGGCAAUGGACGAAAGUCUGACCGAGCAACGCCGCGUGAGUGAAGAAGGUUUUCGGAUCGUAAAACUCUGUUGGUAGAGAAGAACGAUGGUGAGAGUGGAAAGCUCAUCAAGUGACGGUAACUACCCAGAAAGGGACGGCAACCUACGU
RNAcentral lists this ribosomal RNA (496 nucleotides) under uncultured bacterium. Its description in RNAcentral is "partial 16S ribosomal RNA". It matches the Rfam family "Bacterial small subunit ribosomal RNA", at positions 28 to 506 of the family's 1533-position model. The record is from RNAcentral.